Molecule: long non-coding RNA, 530 nt
Filed under: Lathyrus oleraceus (garden pea)
Lineage: Eukaryota; Viridiplantae; Streptophyta; Magnoliopsida; Fabales; Fabaceae
Description: Pisum sativum (pea) long non-coding RNA (PSAT_LNC019436)
Source: RNAcentral
CCCUCCCGAUGUUACAUCUACCAGAGCAUGACCCACUAAGGACGACACUAGACUCCAUAGCACUAGCUUCUACUCAACUCACUGCUCGUUACCUGAAAAAUAGAUGUAAGGGUGAGUUUCUCAAUCAAUAUAAUAAGCAUUAUACAACAUUAUGUAAUGUUAAGUAAAUACGCAUUUGUUCACCCUAACCAGACUACACACUCAGCAACGGCAGUACCAACUCAACAUCAUACCCAACAAUAACAUAUAUCAUAUGUAUAAUCUCAAACCAUACUCAAUCAUCAACAACACAACACAUAAUAACCAUAUAAUACUGGAAUACAUCCAUUCAUAUUAUAUGCCAUACAUUCAUUAUGCAAUGAGACUCAACAUAUGCGGUACCGACUAUUCUUGAACAUACAGUUCAAGCUCACCGAUCAACUCCAGAUACGGCUACUAAGCUCACUAGUCCCACUCAUUUGAGAUCUAAUGACUCACUCACUAAUUCCUCACCAUGGGAAUUAGCUACAGCCCCAAAGGCUAGACUAUGC